UUUGCAUAUUCAAAAAGCGGAGGAAAAGAAACCAACAGGGAUUGCCCUAGUAACGGCGAGUGAAGCGGCAACAGCUCAAAUUUGAAAUCUGGCUUCGGCCCGAGUUGUAAUUUGUAGAGGAAGCUUUUGGUGAGGCACCUUCUGAGUCCCCUGGAACGGGGCGCCAUAGAGGGUGAGAGCCCCGUAUAGUCGGAUGCCGAUCCAAUGUAAAGCUCCUUCGACGAGUCGAGUAGUUUGGGAAUGCUGCUCAAAAUGGGAGGUAAAUUUCUUCUAAAGCUAAAUACCGGCCAGAGACCGAUAGCGCACAAGUAGAGUGAUCGAAAGAUGAAAAGCACUUUGAAAAGAGGGUUAAAUAGCACGUGAAAUUGUUGAAAGGGAAGCGUUUGUGACCAGACUUGCGCCGUUCCGAUCAUCCGGUGUUCUCACCGGUGCACUCGGGGCGGCUCAGGCCAGCAUCGGUUUUGGCGGGGGGAUAAAGGUUCGGGGAACGUAGCUCCUUCGGGAGUGUUAUAGCCCCGGGCGUAAUGCCCUCGCCGGGACCGAGGUUCGCGCAUCUGCAAGGAUGCUGCGAUUGCCCUAGUAACGGCGAGUGAAGCGGCAACAGCUCAAAUUUGAAAUCUGGCUUCGGCCCGAGUUGUAAUUUGUAGAGGAAGCUUUUGGUGAGGCACCUUCUGAGUCCCCUGGAACGGGGCGCCAUAGAGGGUGAGAGCCCCGUAUAGUCGGAUGCCGAUCCAAUGUAAAGCUCCUUCGACGAGUCGAGUAGUUUGGGAAUGCUGCUCAAAAUGGGAGGUAAAUUUCUUCUAAAGCUAAAUACCGGCCAGAGACCGAUAGCGCACAAGUAGAGUGAUCGAAAGAUGAAAAGCACUUUGAAAAGAGGGUUAAAUAGCACGUGAAAUUGUUGAAAGGGAAGCGUUUGUGACCAGACUUGCGCCGUUCCGAUCAUCCGGUGUUCUCACCGGUGCACUCGGGGCGGCUCAGGCCAGCAUCGGUUUUGGCGGGGGGAUAAAGGUUCGGGGAACGUAGCUCCUUCGGGAGUGUUAUAGCCCCGGGCGUAAUGCCCUCGCCGGGACCGAGGUUCGCGCAUCUGCAAGGAUGCUGGCGUAAUGGUCAUCAACGACCCGUCUUGAACCCACGGGACCCA
Molecule: unclassified non-coding RNA, 1141 nt
Filed under: Neurospora sitophila
Lineage: Eukaryota; Fungi; Ascomycota; Sordariomycetes; Sordariales; Sordariaceae
Description: sequence contains ITS1 and ITS2
Rfam family: Eukaryotic large subunit ribosomal RNA
Source: RNAcentral